UACGGGGGGGGGUAAGCGUUGUUCGGAUUUACUGGGCGUAAAGGGCGCGUAGGCGGCCACCGCAAGUCAAUUGUGAAAUCUCCGGGCUUAACUCGGAAAGGUCAACUGAUACUGCGGGGGCUAGAGUGCGGAAGGGGCAACUGGGAAUUCUCGGUGUAGCGGUGAAAUGCGUAGAUAUCGAGAGGAACACCUGCGGCGAAGGCGGGUUGCUGGGCUGACACUGACGCUGAGGCGCGAAAGCUAGGGGAGCGAACGGG
RNAcentral lists this ribosomal RNA (257 nucleotides) under uncultured bacterium. RNAcentral's name for it is "partial 16S ribosomal RNA". It matches the Rfam family "Bacterial small subunit ribosomal RNA", at positions 524 to 776 of the family's 1533-position model. The record is from RNAcentral.